AGUGAACGCUGGCGGUAGGCCUAACACAUGCAAGUCGAACGGCAGCACAGUAAGAUCUUGCUCUUACGGGUGGCGAGUGGCGGACGGGUGAGGAAUACAUCGGAAUCUACUUUUUCGUGGGGGAUAACGUAGGGAAACUUACGCUAAUACCGCAUACGACCUACGGGUGAAAGCAGGGGAUCUUCGGACCUUGCGCGGUUGAAUGAGCCGAUGUCGGAUUAGCUAGUUGGCGGGGUAAAGGCCCACCAAGGCGACGAUCCGUAGCUGGUCUGAGAGGAUGAUAAGCCACACUGGAACUGAGACAGGGUCCAGACGCCUACGGGAGGCAGCAGUGGGGAAUAUUGGACAAUGGGCGCAAGCCUGAUCCAGCCAUACCGCGUGGGUGAAGAAGGCCUUCGGGUUGUAAAGCCCUUUUGUUGGGAAAGAAAAGCAGCAGGUUAAUACCCCGCUGUUCUGACGGUACCCAAAGAAUAAGCACCGGCUAACUUCGUG
Molecule: ribosomal RNA, 492 nt
Filed under: uncultured bacterium
Lineage: Bacteria
Description: partial 16S ribosomal RNA
Rfam family: Bacterial small subunit ribosomal RNA
Source: RNAcentral